UGGGGCCAAGGUUCUGAUAA
This 20-nucleotide non-coding RNA is filed under the name Rattus norvegicus (Norway rat). Lineage: Eukaryota; Metazoa; Chordata; Mammalia; Rodentia; Muridae. The record is from RNAcentral.